AUUUACAGCUUCUCCACAUAAAAUGAUCCAGUAUAUCGUUCUUCUACCAAACAACCUUUCACUUCCUUCCAUCUUCUCUUAUCUCUCUCCCGGUUUUGAUCGGCUUAAGAGCGGAGCUGCUGUCCCACCGUUUUUGCUUCAUUCAAUAUCAGUGUCACGAGUUCAAUAUCAAUCUCAGGAGAGAAGCAUGGUCACACACAGAAAGAGGACUUUUUUUCGGAACUGAUUCACCUCUAAUCGUGUUUCUUCCAGGUGAUUGUUGUCGGAGAUGAUGAAAAACAUAGGUAGAAACAUGCCGCCUUUUGUAUUCCUCAAAUUUCCCUCUGGAGUUUUUAACCUCGAUUUAAGGCUCACCGUUUCUCACUUGGUAGAAGUUUUCUUCAAUCAAUGAUCCCCACCCAUUCUCUGCGAUUUUGUUAUCCCCGACCAUCGAUUUUAGAUUUGGGAGAAACCGUAGAUGUUAUCGUCGAGGUUCUGAAAGAGUGAAUCCUCGAUUUAACGUUUUUCGUCCUCUUACGUGAUGAGGUCGACGCCUACUACAACGAAGGCUGGUCGGAGGGAAUUAUCGCCGUCAUCAUACCCGGGAACUGAUAGUCGAUUUCGGUGAAAUCCCAGAUGUUCAGAUUUCCUCCGGAAAUGCUUAGACUAUCUCUACUCUUCACCAACUCAAAACUUCUUCAUCUUACAGCAAGUUUUCUCUAGAUUCCCAUUCUACUUUCACAAUUUGUACACCAAAUAAACUUUUCCUAUUUCUUUUAAGGAUGUUUACCCUUUUUCUUUAUUUUUAUCUUUGUUCCUGCAGGGAAUUUGAUCACUUGCCUCCAUCAUAACCCAAGAAAAAGAUUCAGUUAUACCCCAACCACUUCAUAUUGACAUUUGAAAUAGGGUCUUACUACGCACCCCAACUGCUCGAUGAAAUGCUUGAACUAGGAUGCCUAGAAAAGAUCAGUUUUUUUCUUCUGGAAAUAUAGAAAAAAAGUAAUUGCUUGAGUUUAGGACAUGUAUUCAUUUUGUGUUAACAUUUUUUGCUUGGUUUUAAUUUUAUCUGAUUAUAACAUUUACUAUUUAGUAAUCAGUUUUCAUCAUCAACAUUUGUAUGUUUUUUUUUUUGUAAAAUUGUUGGUUAUACACUUAUGUUUAACCAUCUUUGCUCCUCCAUGGGAAACAGCUGAUUUCUAUUCAGAGAGAUACAGCGAGUUGUUCCCUCUUUACAAGGUUUUGCUUUAACUGCUUCAACUUAUCAUUGAAGGUUAUUCGGUUAUUAUGUUUUUUGUUUAAUUUUAAGGAUUAGAUUGUGGAUGCUUUAGGUCAAUUUCACUUCAUUACAAGUUUUAAUUUUAAUGCAAUUUGGAAAUUUAUGCAGAUGAUGAAGCCAAGUCGACUCUUCAUGGGUAGAUCCAGGUAUGUUUAUCCAUGAUAAAAUUGGAUGUUAUUUUCUGGUAUAUUAGAUACAUUCAUUCCAUUGUAAUGAAAGAGGAAUGUGCAAUUUGGUUUUAUUUUUACUGUAAUCAAUUCAUUUAUAAAUUUGAAGAUUAAGACUUUUGACUUGGAGAAGAGAAUAGUCAAAAUGGAUUGAGAGAAGUUUAAACAUGUUUGAGAGGAAAGGGUAUAGCUAGAAAGUUUAAGGUGGGCAGAUGGUUAAAGAGUUUGAGAGGUAUGGGCAUAAUUGGGCAGUUGAAGGCUAGGUUGAAGGUAAGCAGAAAUUCAAGAGUUGGUGUACAUUAAAGUCUAAAAAGAAAUAUUAUCAUGCUCUGUAUGACCUUUUAAUAUAAUGCAAGAAAGUAUGAAUUUCAUAUAUAUAUAAUGAACAACAUGUAUACAAAAGAACCAUAAAUUCGAAACAAACAUGUCUGAAAAAACCACAUGGGUCCUUUUCCUAGUUCGUAUUCAAAACACAUGAGUCAUUUCAAACCGGUUGAAAACGUAUCAUAACAUACCCGAAUGUAAAAUACGCAUUACAGUCCUCGGCUGAUAAAUGGACCAUUUAAUGAUAUAAAAAAAUAAAAAAUAAAAUAAAAAACAAUAUAUUUUAGGGGUCUAUGAACUUAUAAUAUUUGGUGUUGCUGUCAAUUAAAAACAGAGCAAGUAUCGUCCCUCUGCACAAAUUUUAUGUGGUGGCAAGUAAACGGGAGAAACCUUCUAAUGUGGAAAAUAUAUAUUAACGGUUAAGUAUCCUCUCAAAAAAAAAAAAGAAAGAUUCUCCUUCUAGUUUGCUCCCUUUCAAUGUUCCUAUUACCUCCCUACGUACCUGUCAUAUUUCUUCAACAUUUCACUAAUACUCCACAUAUCCGCUGAACAAAAUGCUUUUUAAGAAAAAACUCUCACCUUGAUUUAAUAAAAACGCAUCAAACACUUGUAUUUAAAAACAUUAGAGCAAUAAUAUUGUUGAACUAACUAGUGACAACAUAUUGUUACUUUUCUUUUAAAAUACCAACAGAGAAAAGCAGUUGCUAGAAGUAGUGUAAAUUAUGUUGUUUACAGGUGCUAUUUGGUCAUCUUGGGUUAUCUACAAUACCCGUCUAUAAUUUGGGAAUUAAUUCAUCGCUAAAAUACUUGUGACCCACUUGUAGCGACAUCCGGAGUUUGAAAGGCGACGAAUCAACAAAUUUGGUUCUCAAUGCUUAGUGAGUGUCUCUUCGUUUGGAGAUGAGAAAGGAAAUUUUAAAGAACUAAAACAUGUGUGAACAAUUGAAAUGUGAAAGCAUAAGAAUUUACAAGCAUCUACUAGCCCUCUCCCAGUCUCCCUUAUGUGAUGAAUGACAGAAUGAACUUACGAAGAACGAAGACAUGAAUGAUUAAAUCAUUAUCUAACGGCGUCGAAGCAUACGAUUGAAUUUAUCUAUGUUUGUAUUAGUGUUUUAGUUUAAACAUGUUUCCAUGAAUGCUGUUAAUUUUCAUUUGGAUGUUUAAGACUUAAGUUUCUAAAAUCCAGAUAUGUUUGCA
RNAcentral lists this long non-coding RNA (2943 nucleotides) under Lactuca sativa (garden lettuce). RNAcentral describes it as "long non-coding RNA (LSAT_LNC007459)". Lineage: Eukaryota; Viridiplantae; Streptophyta; Magnoliopsida; Asterales; Asteraceae. The record is from RNAcentral.